GGCGGCAUGCCUAAUACAUGCAAGUCGAGCGGAAUGACGAGAGCUUGCUCUCUGAUUUUAGCGGCGGACGGGUGAGUAACACGUGGGCAACCUGCCCUACAGAUGGGGAUAACUCCGGGAAACCGGGGCUAAUACCGAAUAAUCAGUUUGUCCGCAUGGACAAACUCUGAAAGACGGUUUCGGCUGUCACUGUAGGAUGGGCCCGCGGCGCAUUAGCUAGUUGGUGGGGUAAUGGCCUACCAAGGCAACGAUGCGUAGCCGACCUGAGAGGGUGAUCGGCCACACUGGGACUGAGACACGGCCCAGACUCCUACGGGAGGCAGCAGUAGGGAAUCUUCCACAAUGGACGAAAGUCUGAUGGAGCAAUGCCGCGUGAGCGAAGAAGGUUUUCGGAUCGUAAAGCUCUGUUGUAAGGGAAGAACACGUACGGGAGUAACUGCCCGUGCCAUGACGGUACCUUAUUAGAAAGCCACGGCUAACUACGUGCCAGCAGCCGCGGUAAUACGUAGGUGGCAAGCGUUGUCCGGAAUUAUUGGGCGUAAAGCGCGCGCAGGCGGUUCUUUAAGUCUGAUGUGAAAGCCCACGGCUCAACCGUGGAGGGUCAUUGGAAACUGGAGAACUUGAGUACAGAAGAGGAAAGCGGAAUUCCACGUGUAGCGGUGAAAUGCGUAGAGAUGUGGAGGAACACCAGUGGCGAAGGCGGC
RNAcentral lists this ribosomal RNA (704 nucleotides) under Sporosarcina sp. RNAcentral describes it as "bacterial SSU rRNA". It matches the Rfam family "Bacterial small subunit ribosomal RNA", at positions 38 to 725 of the family's 1533-position model. Lineage: Bacteria; Bacillati; Bacillota; Bacilli; Caryophanales; Caryophanaceae. The record is from RNAcentral.